UACAAUAAUCAAACCCUUGGGAGCAACUGUGGCUGGAACCAAAGUUCACAGGAGUGUGUUCUAUGAAAUCCUCUGAAGCUGUGGACAUCAACCCUCUGAUUGCUUGCGGCCAAACCGUGUCAUAGCUCGUUAAUAAAAAGUUGAUUUGAAGACUUGAUUUUAACUUUCCCCGAUGCCCACACUGGCAAAGACGCCCUGUGCCGCUUAUUGCUGCCGGCUCCCAUUGAAAAAGAAUGACUUCCGUUUACUUUGACACUCGCUGCUUUCAGUGUGAAUGUAGAUAUUCAAUCGUUAAUAAAAAGUUGAUUUGAAGACUUGAUUUUAACUUUCCCCGAUGCCCACACUGGCAAAGACGCCCUGUGCCGCUUAUUGCUGCCGGCUCCCAUUGAAAAAGAAUGACUUCCGUUUACUUUGACACUCGCUGCUUUCAGUGUGAAUGUAGAUAUUCAAUCAGGUUUAAGUCUGGGCUUUGGGGUGGCCAUUUCAUGGAUGUUUUUCACGAGGUGGUGAUGACGCAUUGAACAAUCGUCAGCAUCUUAAAUCCUUAAAAGUUUCAAAUAAAGAGAUAUUUUUUAAGAACCGUAGUACAUUUAUAAAGUUCUACUUUUUAUUAUAUCACAUUUUCAUGAAAUUGUAAAAAAAAUAGUUAAUGCUUCUGUGAGGUCUUUCUAAUGCAGCGUCUAUGGGCGAGACAGUAAAAUUGACAUUAUGCUCUCUUUCAGCAGCCAUUCUCAGUCUUACACUGGAAGUGUCACACUUUUUUUUGUGUUGUGGUGUUUUUUUUAUGAUGUAAGUAGAUAGGAAUACAAAAAAAGCAUUUGUCAAAUUCACAUUCACUGCUCUCUAAGUUUAAUCAGCUAUGACGACUUGCGCUGCUGUGAAAUGUGGUAAUGUGAAAAAGGUCCAUCUUCGAGGAACUGCUGUGUCUGUUGUUCUGUGACGAUGUUUCCCUUCAGGCCCAAGUAAAUCCAAGUGUCAUAUGUCUUUCAUGGAGGAUCAACAUUUUUGAGGAGCCUUGAACGACUGACAUUAAAAAAGAAGAUUUCUUCUGCUGUGGCCAAAACAUUCAUCCCUAUGGUGUUGAUGUGGUUUCCCACACAGUUGAAAAUCUGGCAAAGUCAGUGAAAACUGUCAAGUUUAGCUGCCUGUUUCAUCUGUGCUCUUUUAGAUCUACCUCAUAAGUUGUUGGUCACUUUAUUUGGAGGUACCAUUCUUGCUAUUAACAAAGCCUAAACUAUGACUUUUGUCUCAAUAAAGUCCUAAUUUGCUGCAUUUGAAUAUUUGUUAGGUAGUUGGCUGGUGUACGCAUUGAGUGAAUUGGGGGAUGUAGAAUAAGAUCAUGCAUAAAGUGCACUUUACAAGUAAAUAACCAGCCAAUAUCCUAAUAUAAGGCAGAUAUGAAUCCAGUUGUCAAUAGCAAGAAUUGAUACUUGAACUAAAGUGUAACCAAGUGUUUUCUGAUGUUCUUUGCAUUAUAUUUAAGUUGUGAUAUAUGACUCGAAAACUUGUUCUGUUAGGACAACUUCAAAUAGCACUAAGAAGGCAUCUGGACAUUUGGGAAACAGUAAGUUACGCAAUUUUGAUCUCCUCUGUAUAUGUAAUGAUUGUUUGUAUUGUGUGCCUACUUAUUAGCGGCCUCCGGGAAGCUGGUAUGAAUUACAAUUGGGUAAAGACAAAGAUUGUGUUAAAGAUGUGUUGCGAUAAGGAUGUGAGUGUGUGUGUGUUUCAGGAUAAUCUCUCCCUCAGGCGGGGUGACAUACGGUUCACUUCUCGUGCACUCAGUUUCCAUGGAGCUGGUACAGUAUCUUUCUCUCCAUGUAGCCUCUUCAACACCACUCGGAUAUGUUGCAGUUCCAGGUUGGGAAAAGACAAUCAGUAUGAAGACACAGAUGCUUUGUGAUCUGUUAUUGUUGUUAAAACAGGAAUGUUGUGACCCAAAUGGAAGAGGCAGAAGAGUAGAAUUAAUGGUUAUGUUGAAGCAUGAUUUUGAUUUUAUAGUUGUUAUAAAGUGUAAAUUAUACAGGAAAGUCAAACAAGGGAAGAGUUUGUGUGAGAAAUACAUUAAGUGUACAUUUAUAGGCAUUUUAUUUUACACGGCAGAGUGUAAAACAUCAAAUGUCCUUUCACGUCAGGUAAAUGAUCUGCCUGCAUCUGUGAGGUGAGACUCCCGCAAUGACAGAUAUCCUUGACUUUCCAAUUGAUCAUGUAGUUGUCACGGCAAAGACAAAAAGCGAGACAGCGAGAUAAUGAGAAAACUGUAGUCGUACGUCCCAGAUGGCGCGUAUCCCGAAGCCUUUGACUAAACGAAGCAUCAGGGGAUAAGCAUUUAUGUAAUUAUCUUACAGAUCAAUUAAUUAACACUUACAGAAUGUGCCAGAUAGAAUUGAGCAGCGAUAUCAAAAUAAAGGAUCAUUGAGCCAGUUCAGUCUUGUUGAAGAAGAAAGAUAAGCAAGUUGAGAAUGUGGCAGAAUCGGGCCAGGGCUUUAGGAAGACCCAAAAUCAAAGUGUGUGGAACGAAAACAGCGUUCGUCUCGGGUUCAUCAGCUCCAAAGGAAAGAAGAAAGCGAGCCUACCUAACAAUAUAAGCAAAUAUUGAGGAUUGGGAUCAGUUUAGAUCAGGGGUCACCAAUCCUGGUCCUGGAGGGCCGGUGUCCCUGCAGGGUUUAGCUCCAUCUUGACUCGACACACCUGCCUGGAUGUUUGAAGUAUACCUUGUAAGACCUUGAUUAGCUUGUUCAGGUGUGUUUGAUUAGGGUUGGAGAUAAAAUCUGCCGGACACCGACCCUACAGGAACAAGGUUGGUGACCACUGGUUUAGAUGAAAGCACUAUUGACAGUCAUCUUUCUGCAUCCCCAAAACAACCCUUGUUUUCAAGUAUAAUUUGUGUUCUUCUGGCUGUUUGGGUGUGCUUUAUUUAUUCUGUCUUGAGGGUCAGAAUAAGAUUGUUACGUUCUUUCCUGAGAUCAAUGAUUGCUGGAUUUAACGAGAGGAUAGCAUAGCAUUUAGCUAAAAUAAAUUAUGGGGCAAUUUGUGCAACCAUUUAAACUUGCAGAUUGUUAAAAGUAUGUGGUGUAUGGCUAAUAAUACUUAAGUGUAGCGAAGCAAGCAUUUCUGCGUUGUAUAAAAGGGCCUAGAAGUAAAGUAGAAUCAUUAAAGAUGGAAUGGAAAAUGUUGGUUCCUUCUUGAAUAACGGAUGUUUUUUGGAUGCAUGAUUUCUGUGAAGUCUGUUUACCAUUUGUUUUGUGGGACAGCUUUAUUCAAACCUCCAAAGCGAACGUGAGUAGAUGUUUUGAUUAUUUUCUAUUAAUGGGUGUGUUAAUUUUGACAUGUCAGCAGUGUAGAAAUUGUCAUUGAGGUUUUCCUGUGCAAAUAAGUUGACCAGAAUAAGCAAUAUAACAUGUGACCCUGGAUGUGAAAAGCAGUCAUACAUAGAGGUUUCAUUUUGUUAAAAUCAAGAAAUACGCACUCCAUUGACAUCUGUAAUCUGACGGCUGGAAAAAAAAAGGCUUUAAAGUUGUGCAGAUGAAGUUGUUGGCAAUGCUUAUUACUCAGCGAAUUGUUUUGUUUGUUUAUUCGCUGUAGGAGACGUGCGUCAAAUGUCUUGACUGAACGUGAUGUAGUGGCCAAAAUACCAAUGCAAGGAAAAGUGGUCCACACGAGAAGAAAUAGGCAUUAAUCGGUUGCAAAUGAUUUGCUGUUUUGUAGUGUGAUUUCCUUGAUGACUUGAUGGUGCAGGUGCUGCAUAAAGAAGCGAAGUGUGCAAAAGUAAAGACGGUAAAUGUAAUACGGGAAGGAAUGACAUGUACACAUCUAAUGACAAACAUGUGAGGCGUGUGCCAUUUGAAUGCUUUAUCUGAACACAAUGUGUUUUACGCUAUUACUCUGUUGAGGUGUGAAGAUGCUCCAGAUGAAGCCUGACAUUUGGCCGGAUCUGUAAUUGAGUAGCGCUGAAGCUGGCAAUGAAGCGACCGGCCUUUAUCACAAUCUUGAACAGGUAUGUCAAACUGCAGUAUUGAGCUGUGACCAAGGUUAGAGCCAACUAAUGUUAAAUACAGACUGCUGACUCCAUAGUAACCCUUUAAGUUGCAGUGUAAGGGGGAAACAUGAGAUAUUUCUUUGGUUAAUUUGGAUGAAAUCAGAGCUCUCUCAGUCUCCAGAGACAGCAAUGUUUCCAGAUUUAUUCAAAGUUGAGGCAAAAAUACUGUCACAACAGACUAUACGUAGUGGUUCAAUCAGAAUAUAAUGAAGGUACAAGGAUCGAUUAGUGGCGCCGUGUAAGAAAAAGAAGAACUUUAUUGAACAGUUUUCCGUGAAAUAGAGGUACGCGAGCUGUCACUAGGUACACUUUUUCAAAAGGUACACAUUCGUACUCAAAGGGUCCAUAUUAGUACUUGAAAAGUAUAUAGUAGUAGGCAAAAUUGUAAGAGGAACACGUUUGUAGUUUUUGGUAGUAAUAUGGACCCUUGUGGGAUUAAUAGGGACCCUUUAGGCACAAGUUUGUACCAUUUAAAAAGGUAGCACCCCAGCGCCAGCACACUUUCCUCUCAGACUGCAGUGUACGUUGUGUUUGGUCACACGGCUGAUGCAUUGUCUUGGUUACGUCUUGUUUCAAAUAGAAGAAGUUAUUUAUAGAUUUUUUUUUUUUUUCAUGUGGAGAAAAAUAUUGUCGCAUGUUAAUAUUGUGAUGAACGCAAUUUUGGCAUACGGACUGUUGUGAUCUUUUUCUUGACAUGAAAUAAAGCGGGGUCCUUGCUGUUUAUGGAGGGUGAGAGAGCUCUUACAGAGUUUGCGCGUGCUAAAUUGUGUUGUGCGGCACUGGGAAAAGGGGCAGGAUUACACAAUAUGAAGAUAAGCAUUUGCGUGGGGAGAAAAGUGCAGUGUGAUCGCAGCUUUAGAAAUGAUAAAGAUGGUUUAAUUUGGGGUGAAUGACCUCUUUAAACCGAGUUCCUGACUCCACAGUUAGCAAACGUGAAUAGUUUUUGAAAUGUCUUAUAAUAAUAAUAAUAAUAAUAAUAAGAUUAACAAAAAACUUAACCAGGCAGUUCCGAUGCCUGUCAAAGGCUUUAAUAAUGAUCUAGUGUAUAACGCCAGCAGAAAUGUUGUAAUUGAGCAACUAACCAUGAUGCAAAGAGUAUCUAAGAAGGAGUAAAUAUAAAAUGUUGAUGUUUGAGGAAGGCUGUGAUUAGUCUUUUCUCCAGGGACAUUGUUGAUGGAAGCGAACAGGUGAAAAUGGAAGCUAAAUAAAGACAGAACGGUGGUAAUAGUCAGUCCAAUGGUGUAAUAGUCAGUCCAGCACGGUGAAUUAUUUUCACGUCCAUAUCCUCUGAAAGGCCGUCAGUGUCUGUGAGGAGCGGAAAUUGUUGGCAUAAUUGUUGUUGUGUAUUUGAAGCUAUUCCCUGUACUCUGUUAUUACCUUUGAAAAGAGAGACAUUGGCCGAACAUGGGGAUGCAGUAACAAGUGUUGUUUUUGCAGGGUCAAACUAACGGCGUACCCGGAUAUCUCUGUCAGAGGUGAGAGGAAAGGGCAUUUUGGGAGGAAGCCCAGCAUCCUAAACCGGGCUGCCAUGGCAACACUGGCCAUGAGCCCAUUCGGAAGUUGACCUUCUCUGCAGUCGGUGACGGGAGGAAUUACACCUGCCGAAAAGGCGCGUUCAUCCAUCAAGGAAGCCAGAUGCGAUUGAAGAGGGGUCCGAGCAAAGAAAAGCUGAAGGAGCCUUUGAGCACUUUAGGUUGCAGGAGCAUUUAGGUGAGACUCCAUUUAAAAGUGAAGUACAUGCCUGUAACAGGAGCAGAAAGUAGGUAAAUGACAUGCAGAUUGUCUCUAACAGCAUAAAAGGGAGAUGAAUUUAGGCCACGUCUGCAAGGUUUAUCUGUCAGGCCACAUUGCACCGGGAGGCACUCGUGGGUCAGUGGUGAAAACUCUUGAUUUUCCUGACUCAGCUUGUUUUUGUGUUAAAGGACAAAGACAGCUGAGGGUGGCAGCCCGGAGCGUGGAGAGGCCUUUGAUGAUGGACUCGCGUGGGCAAGUGCAGAAGAGAGCAGUCUACAGGUGGCAUGAAGGCAGCAACCCUGAAGCAGGAUGGUGCAGCAGUGCUGUUGUGAGGGACAGUAGCUUGGUGCAGUCAAGCAGCUGUCAGGCCAUCCAAGGUGGACAUCUGAAGAGGUCAUGUGGCAUCAAUGUGAGCAAAGCUUGUAAGUGCUAGUAGUGUAUGUGUCCAUAUGUAGUAUGAUGGCAUUGAACUAAUCAGUUCAAGCGUUUGAUGUAAGAUGAGCCGUUUUAUUUGAGGCAUCAUCAUAGUUUCUUUAUGUCUGAAAGCUUGUAAUAGGCGUUGAGGGUAUGGGUGAGUCAGUUAAUAGAAAUGAUGUGAUGCUCAAGUAUAAGCAGAUGUUAGUGUUGUUCAUUGACUGUGUUGUGAGACCAUGUUGUGAAAUAAAGACAAGUACAAAGCA
Molecule: non-coding RNA, 6450 nt
Organism: Danio rerio (zebrafish)
Lineage: Eukaryota; Metazoa; Chordata; Actinopteri; Cypriniformes; Danionidae
Source: RefSeq, a predicted model, not a curated record